UCCUGGUGGCUCAGAUGGUAAAGAGUCUGCCUGCAAUGUAGGAGACCCAGGUUCGAUCCCUGGAUUGGGAA
This is a non-coding RNA of Bos taurus (domestic cattle), 71 nucleotides long. The record is from Rfam. Lineage: Eukaryota; Metazoa; Chordata; Mammalia; Artiodactyla; Bovidae.